This 481-nucleotide ribosomal RNA is filed under the name uncultured bacterium. RNAcentral describes it as "partial 16S ribosomal RNA". It matches the Rfam family "Bacterial small subunit ribosomal RNA", at positions 28 to 507 of the family's 1533-position model. The record is from RNAcentral.
GAUGAACGCUGGCGGCGUGCUUAACACAUGCAAGUCGAACGAAGCACUUCAUUUGAUUUCCUUCGGGACUGAUUAUUUUGUGACUGAGUGGCGGACGGGUGAGUAACGCGUGGGUAACAUGCCUUGUACAGGGGGAUAACAGUUGGAAACGGCUGCUCAUACCGCAUAAGCGCGCAGCAUCGCAUGCUGCAGUGUGAAAAGCUCCGGGGGUAUAGGAUGGACCCGCGUUGGAUUAGCUAGUUGGUGAGGUAACGGCCCACCAAGGCGACGAUCCAUAGCCGACCUGGGAGGGUGACCGGCCACAUUGGGACUGAGACACGGCCCAAACUCCUACGGAAGGCAGCAGUGGGGAAUAUAGCACAAUGGGCGAAAGCCUGAUGCAGCGACGCCGCGUGAGCGAAGAAGUAUUUCGGUAUGUAAAGCUCUAUCAGCAGGGAAGAUAGUGACGGUACCUGGCUAAGAAGCACCGGCUAAAUACGUG